CGCGUAGGCGGUUUUGUAAGUCGAAUGUGAAAGCCCCGGGCUUAACCUGGGAAUUGCGUUUGAUACUGCGAAACUAGAGUACGGUAGAGGGAAGUGGAAUUCCGGGUGUAGCGGUGAAAUGCGUAGAUAUCCGGAGGAACACCAGUGGCGAAGGCGACUUCCUGGGCCAGUACUGACGCUGAGGUGCGAAAGCGUGGGGAGCAAACA
This 207-nucleotide ribosomal RNA is filed under the name uncultured bacterium. RNAcentral's name for it is "partial 16S ribosomal RNA". It matches the Rfam family "Bacterial small subunit ribosomal RNA", at positions 568 to 774 of the family's 1533-position model. The record is from RNAcentral.